Molecule: long non-coding RNA, 10328 nt
Filed under: Panax ginseng (ginseng)
Lineage: Eukaryota; Viridiplantae; Streptophyta; Magnoliopsida; Apiales; Araliaceae
Description: long non-coding RNA (PGIN_LNC007417)
Source: RNAcentral
GUACCUGGAUUAAGCAAUAUAAUACCCAAAAUUUAUACUCCAAAUUUGACUCGUUUAGACUCUCUCCGUUCAAUCUAAAUAAUUUAAUAAAAUUUUAUUACAAUCAAAUCAUUAAUAACAUAAUAAUAUUAAAUUAUUAUUACAAACUUUUACAACUAUGUCGGCAAAAUGAAUAAAUUUAAAUUAAUAUACAUAACUUUAAAUUAAUGAAAUAUAAUAUAUAUAUAUAUAUAUAUGUGUGUGUGUGAGAGAGAGAGAGAUUUCUCCUGCAGCUUACUGCUGCAAGCAUUCGCAUGGCAUAUAUAUAUAAUAUAUAUAUAUAUAUAUAUAAAAUAUAUAACCUAAUGAAUCUAUACCUGCCAACAUCAAAUGCACAGCUUUUAAAAAAAUAAUGUGAUUCGUAUAUAAUAACUUAAACAUGCACUUCACUGUUUUCGAUUGAAUGAGUACCUGGUUUCACUGACCAAAUAAUAAAACUGUGAUCCUCCUCCUUUUGCAAGUCACAACUCAGCCGCAAGUAUUCUUUUCUUUCUCUCCCAAACUCGUAUUAGGCGUAUUGUUUAAGUGAAUUAGGUUUAGUUAUUUAUUCAUUAAAAAAUAGAUUUUAUUAAUUAAUAUAUUUAUUAACUCUCCAAAUUUUAAUAGGAUUUUAAAAUUACACAAUUAUUAAUUUGACCCACUUAAUUUAAAGCCCAAUUUUACCUAUUUAAUUUACCCAUCACUUAUUAUUACAUUAGCCCACAAAAAUUAAAUGAUUAUUUUGACCCAAAAUAAAUGACAUCCAAAAAUAUGUUUUAAAACAAGGUAAUUUUAUUAUUUAAUAUUAUUUUUUUUUUUUUCGGGUAUUACAUCACCUACCCCUUAAAAAGGAUUCCGUCCCCGGAAUCAAAAGAAUGGAACGUACCUAAUUUUCAAAGAGAUGCGGAUACUCCGCUCGAAUAGACUCCUCCAUCUCCCAAGUGGCUUCCCGCUCCGAAUGAUUCCUCCACAAAACCUUAACAAACGGAAUAGUUUUCCUCCUCAUGAUCCUUUCUUGACGAUCCAAAAUCGCCUCAGCUUGUUCCUCACAAGUAAGAUCCUCUCGAAUCUUAUCGAACGGAUAUUGCACCACGUGCAACGGAUGAUAAUGAUAACUCCUCAACACCGACACAUGGAACACAUUAUGCACGUGAGCUAGCUGUGGAGGCAAAGCUAACCGAUAUGCAACCUCACCAACCCUCUCCAGAAUCUCAAAUGGUCCAAUAUAACGCGGACUAAGUUUCCCUUUCAACCCAAAUCGCCGAAUACCCUUCCAAGGAGAAACUUUUAGAAACACAUGCUCACCAGGUUCAAACUCUAAAGUCCUUCUAUGCUUAUCAGCAUAACACUUCUGCCGUGAUCGAGCCGACUUCAAUUUCUCCUUAGCCACCGCUACCUUCUCCGUAGUGAUUUGAACCAACUCAGGCCCUUCUAUGGCCCUUUUGCCAACCUCAUCCCAACAAGUUGGUGCCCGACAUUUCCUACCAUAUAAUGCCUCAAAAGGAGCCAUCCCAAUACUUGCGUGCCAACUAUUGUUGUAAGCAAACUCAACUAGGCUCAAGUAAUCAUCCCAAUUACCCGACCACUCAAGUGCACAAGACCUCAACAUGUCCUCCAACGUCUGAAUAGUCCGCUUGGGUUGCCCAUCAGUUUGCGGAUGAAAAGAAGUACUGAAGUUGAGCCAAGUACCCCAAGCUUGUUGAAACCCUUUCCAGAACCGUGAAGUGAACCGUGGGUCCCGAUCUGAAACAGUAGACACCGGAGUACCAUGAAGUCUAACAAUCUCCUGCUGAAAGAUAUGUGCCAACCUAUCCACCGAGUAACUCUCAUGGAUAGCCAAAAAGUGUGUCGAUUUGGUCAACCGGUCCACCACUACCCAUAUGGCAUCAUUCUUCCUGAAAGUCUUCGGCAACCCAGUCACAAAAUCCAUCGUGAUAUCCUCCCACUUCCACACUGGAAUGUCUAACUGUUGCAGCAAACCACUAGCUCGUUGAUGUUCUAUCUUCACUUGUUGACAAGUGAGGCACUUCCCAACAUAUUCAGCCACGUCUCGUUUCAUCCCAUUCCACCAAAAAUUCUUCUUCAAAUCUCUAUACAUCUUUGUAGAACCUGGAUGAAUAGAAAAUGGCGAACUAUGAGCUUCAGCCAACACCGCCUCCCGAAUGAUUGGAUCUGACGGUACACACAACCGCUCACCCAACCAAAUCACACCAUGGUCAUCAACACGAAACUCAGACUGCUUGCCCUCCUCUAGAUUCUGCGUCAAACCCCACAACUCCCCAUCUUCCUUUUGAGCUUCUUUGACCCGCGAGAUAAGAGAGGGCUCCACUCUCAUACCCGCCAAAUGCCCAUCUGAACCUCGUAUAUACAACUCCAACUCGAUCCGCUCCAUAUCUGAAAUAAGCUGAGGUUGCGUAAUAAGGGCUGCAACACUUCCUGAACUCUUCCGGCUAAGAGCAUCUGCAACCACAUUUGCCUUCCCCGGGUGAUACUGAAUCCUCGCAUCAUAAUCUUUUAGUAGCUCCAACCAACGCCUUUGCCUCAUAUUGAGCUCCUUCUGAGUGAAAAUGUAUUUAAGACUUUUGUGAUCGGUGAAGAUAUCACAAGUCUCUCCAUACAAAUAAUGCCUCCAAAUCUUUAAGGCAAAGAUCACCGCUGCCAACUCCAAAUCAUGUGUGGGGUAAUUCACCUCGUAAGGUUUAAGCUGCCUAGAAGCAUAAGCAAUCACCUUACCGUGUUGCAUCAAAACACACCCCAAGCCCUUCUUAGAAGCAUCACUAUAAAUUUGGUAACCUCCUAUCCCCGACGGCAAUGCAAGUAUAGGGGCUGUCACAAGCCAUUUCUUUAACUCCUCAAAACUUUUCUCGCGCUCCUCAUUCCACACAAACUUCACGCCCUUUCUCAUCAACUGAGUCAAUGGUAAGGCAAGCAAGGAAAACCCUUCCAUAAACCGCCUGUAAUACCCUGCCAAACCCAAGAAACUCCUAAUCUCCUUGGCCAUUUGGUGAUAGCCUCAACCUUCGCAGGAUCCACCUUAAUGCCUUCAGCAGAAACAACAUGUCCCAAAAAUGCAACCUGUUCCAACCAAAACUCGCAUUUAGAGAAUUUAGCAUACAACUUCUCUUUCUGCAAAAUCCCUAACACUGUGCGAAGAUGCUCCUCAUGCUCUUCUUUAGACUUAGAGUAAACCAAAAUGUCAUCAAUAAAGACAAUGAUAAAUUGGUCCAAGUACUCCCUGAACACCCGAUUCAUCAAAUCCAUAAACACCGCCGGAGCGUUAGUCACACCGAAUGGCAUCACCAGAAACUCGUAAUGCCCAUAUCGGGUACGAAAAGCCGUCUUAGGGAUAUCCUCAUCCCUCACCCUCAACUGAUGAUAUCCCGACCUCAAGUCUAUCUUCGAAAAAUACUUUGCCCCCUGAAGUUGGUCAAGCAAGUCAUCAAUCCUCGGCAAUGGAUACCGAUUCCUGAUGGUGAUCUUGUUCAAUUCCUUGUAGUCUAUACACAGCCUCAUAGACCCAUCCUUCUUCUUCACAAACAAGAUUGGAGCACCCCACGGCGAAACACUCGGUCGAAUCACACCACGAUCUAACAGUUCCUGCAACUGCUCCUUCAACUCCUACAACUCCAACGGUGCCAUCCGACACGGCGCCUUAGAGAUAGGCUCCGCACCAGGAACAAGCUCAAUAGCAAAUUCCACUUCCCGCUGUGGUGGCAACCCUGACAACUCCUCAGGAAACACAUCGGAAAAGUCACGGAAAAUUGGAACAUCCUCAAUAUGAGACUCACCCUUAGAGGUAUCUUUCACAAAUGCCAAAUACCCAUCACAACCCUUUGCCACCAACUUUUCAGCCUUCAAAGCCGAAAUUAAUUUCACCACCCUACUCGGCUGAGAACCCUGAUACACGAAUUCUGGAGACUUCACAUCUCCAAAUAUAACCUUCUUCGCCUGACAAUCUAUAGUGGCCUGGUGCUUAUCCAACCAGUCCAUCCCAAGAAUGAUAUCGAAAUCGUGCAUACACAUCAGAAGGAGAUUAACGCUACGAAUCUUAUCCCCAAAAUUGAUCGGACAUCCUCGAUACAAAUCAGAAAUAACUACAGAAGUCCCCAUCGGGGUAGCAAUAGACAUCACAGAAUCUAAAGACUGAGAUGGCACACUCAGGUGCCGAACAAAAGACUGAGCAACAAUGGAAUGAGUAGAACCCGUAUCAAACAAAAUAGAUGCCUCACGAUUGCCAACUAAAAGAGUACCAGAAACAGUACCUGGUGUACUUGCCGCCUGGUUAUGCGUCAAAGCAAACACUCGACCGCCCUGACGCUGACCUCCAUUGCCACCAUUAUCGCCACCUCCACCAUUUCCACGUGGCCCAGCACAAUCCCUAGCAAUGUGACCUAUCUGUCCACACAAGAACCAUGCACCAGUGAGUCUGUGGCACUGCCUCCCCGGAUGAUUAGCCCCACAAGUAGCACAAGGAGCUAUCGGAAUAAGAUUCUGGUUACCCCCACCAGCUGGUCCUGGGUAACGACCCUGAUUUUUCCCCUGCGGACGAUUCUGUCCCUGCUGACGAUUUUGUCCAUACCAAGGUAACUGAAGCUGACGAUUCUGCCCUUGCUGAGGCAUCUGCUGAUAACCCUUGUUCUGAUUCUGACCACGCCACUGCCCCUGCUGAAAACCACGAUUUCUGUUCCACUGACCACCUUGAUUUCUCCCAUGCUGACCCGAAGCUUGACCCUGCUGGUCAUCUCUGUCCCUCUUCCGACUCCCUUCCGGUUUGGAAGUCCGAAAGUCCUGCCGCUCCAUCUCAAUGUUCUGGGCCGCAUUAGCCACCGCCGAUACAUCCGUAAACUUGGUGUUAAUGAGAUGUUGGCGAUACCUAUAAUGAAUCCGCCACUUGAACUUUUCCGCCUGUUCUGCUGCAGUCCUGCAGACGUUCCCGCAAAACCUGCCAACCUGGUGAACCUGGUAAUGAAAUCGGUAAUGGACUCAUCAUCCUUCUGCCGAAUGGAUAGAUACUCUCUAGCAUAGGCCUCUUUAUCAGCAGCUGGAAAGUACUGCUGAUAAAAGACCUCACAAAACUCUGCCCAAUGAAGUGUCUCCACGUACCCAUCACCCUUGGUUGUCUUCAGUGCUUUCCACCACCUCUGUGCAUCCCCCUCUAGCUUGUAAGCAGCAAGCAACACUCUUUGAUUAUCUGAGCAUCCCAACACAUCAAAAAUCUUCUCUAGGUGAGCAAUCCAAUUUUCCGCAUCAAUUGGAGUUGGAGCAGAACUGAAAGACUGUGGCUUCUGCUUCUGAAACCUCUCCAACCACACAUACAUUGGAACCACCUGCUGAUCAAGGCCAUCCACAUUUCCUUCCUCUUCGUUUGUUUGUGGACCAUUAUUUCCCGAGUGCCCCUGCUCAGGAAUUUCUGGCGGCUGUUGCAUUGCCUGUACAACCUGUGCCACCAACUGCGGUAAAGCCUGAUUCACCAAGUUAACCAGUUGAGCAUUUAUCUGAUUAUUAGGUUGCUCAUUGGGCUGAACAUCACCCCUUCCCUUAUUGUUACCUCUCCUCCCAGCAACUCUAGCGGAUCGACGAGCCAUCUAAGAAAGAGAUCAAUGAAUAUAAACAGAACAGAUUAAAACAGAUUCGAAUAUAGCUAAACAAAAAAUCAAACUGAACAAAAACCUAACCCAGAAGUCAACCCAUAACUCACAGGUCAAACCUAAAUAGAUUUUCUACAAGAAAGAACCUGACUCUGAUACCAACUCUGUAACACCCCCUUUCCAAAAUAGAAAGGGAGGUUACUCAAAACACAACAAAACUGAAAUGAAAGCUUUAUGUCAUAAAAGGAUGGCCUCAUAAUAAUUAAAUAUCACAAGAUAAACUAUAGUAAAUAUCCCACUAACUCAAACCAUAGCCGAAGGUAAUUAUUACAAUUUCAAAUAAACUGACAUAUCAAUCCUAAACAUAAUAACUCUAAUCCAUUGGAAUGAAUGGAGCUCUCAUCACACUUGCCCAUGAUUCCCCUGAUUACCUGCCGGAAGAAAAACACAGCAUGAGCCAAAUGCCCAGUACGGAUAUAGAAUACAAUUAAUGAACCGAAAUAACUAACUCAAUUAAAUGAAAUGAGAUGGAAUGAACUGAAACGAAACGAAUAGAACUAACACAAUAAAAUGGUAGGCUGAAUCAAAUGGCUAGGUGUUAUUUCAUACCGAGCUCAAAAUAAAUAAUAACAUAUCUUGCCACACAGGCAAGUCAAAUAAUGCCACACAGGCAAUCAAACUAAUGCCACAUAGGCAAUCACACAUCGGACUGCGCAAUCCAGAUGCGUGCAAAAUCGGAAGGCGUGUUUGGCACAAACAUCACCAAUCCGCAGAAUAGAACAGAACAGAAAACUAGGGUCGACCCAUACGCCUCCCACAACAAAACACCAAAUGGCCAACUCCCACCGGAGCACAAAAUGGAGACGCCGUGGACUGAUCACACCGCCACGGAAGGUGUCAUGCCUCGGUGCCAAGAGGACAUGCCUGUGGUACCCCCACAGGUGGUUAUAGCUCAGGUAUACCCUACGGUAUUCUAACAAAAAUAUCAUGUCACAACACAUGCGACACAAUAUCAACACAAAUGGGUUAUAACGUGUACAUGUUAAACUAGAACGAGAUAUCAACACAAAGUCUCCAAAAAUAUUAACAUGUACAUUACUAAAAAUAUCAAAAUAAAUUUAGACAUGUUGUACUAGUCUACAGAGUGCAAAUAUGAGUUCCAACUAUGAACGCCAAACGAGUUUAUCACAGUGAAUUUGACAAGAAAUAAUCAUAAGAGGCAAUACUAAUUUUCAAAACGCAUAACGAAACGAAUAAAUUAAAAACAAAAGAGUCUCGCUGCAAGAGUACGGAAUCCGUACCUGGAUUAAGCAAUGUAAUAUCCAAAAUUUAAAUUCCAAAUUAUAAUAAUCCCCUUCAAGUCAAUCUAAUAAAAUAAAAUAAAUUUAUUACAAAUUUACCCAUUAGCAACAAGAUACUAUUAAAUUGAUUAUCGAGUAAAUUUUACAAUAUUAUCAACAAGAUUAACGAGUUUAAAUUAAUAUACAUAACUUUCAAUUUAAUUUAUUAAUUCUGAUUUAUAAGUUUUAUGGCCAAAUACUUAUUAAAAUAUAAUAUAAAUAUAAUACACGAACAAAACAAAAAAGAUUAAAAAAAAUAAUAAUAAAUAAAGUGAAAACGUCACCUGCAAUGAUGCAGGUUGAUGGAUAAAUCUAAUUCUUAUAUAUAUAAUAAUAAUGUAAUGAUGGUCUUGCUGCACUAGGUAUAUAUACAUAUAUAUUACAUAUAUAGAAUAACCUGUAGCCAAACUUUAUAUAUAUAACGUCAAAAGCAGUAAUAUACCUAAUAAAACAUCAAAACUUGACUGUCAUGAAAUGCAUAUACAUAUAUAACUAUCAAUUCUUAAUUCUUAUGCCAUACCAGUAUAAUUCGAUCGUCUCUUUCCUUUGUUUAGCUGCUGCGGCUGUAUUCUCUUUUCUCAGUCGGUAUAACGAAAGUGAGAUUAGGUUUUGUUAUAUGUUUAUUUAUUAACAAAUUUUAUUAAUUAAUAUAUUUCACUAACUCUCCUAAUUUAAUAGGAUUUUAAAAUUACACAAUUAUAAAUUAGACCCACUUAGUUUUAAGCCCAAUUUUACCAAUUAAUUUAUCCACACUUAUUAAUAUUUAUAAGCCCAUAUAAAUUAAAGAUCACUUGACCCAAAUAAAAUACAAAGUCCAAUUAAUAUGCUUUUAACAUAAAACAAAAUAAUAAUUUAAUUUUUUUUUUGGGUAUUACAAAUAUACCCUUGAGAAAUUGAAAACUAUAUUGAAUACCUUUUUGCUAUAUUACUUAUUGGGCAAAAUUGUUUCUCAUCCUUGUUUUCCCUAAAACUUUCAGUGAAGGCAGAACGCGUGGUGAACCCUCUGGCAAGGACAAGGGUAAAGAGAAGGCUUUGGAGUAGUUAUUUAUAUGAUGCUAGUGAUGUAUUAUUAUUUAGUUAUAGAAGAACUUAUUAACCUAUAUAUAAGCUAAGUAGUAUUGUAUUAUGUAUCAGUUAUGACAACACGGUGUUUAAUUAUGGUUAAGUUAUGUAAGAGAUGUUUAAGUUUCGAACCCUUGGGACGAGAAUAAUUAGGUUAUACCAAUGUAAAUUAUUCUAUUAUUUCGUUGUAUAAGAUGUUGAUUUAUUACUAAAGUUAGUACGUGGCAACCAAAUUUGAGACAAGUGUGGUCUGAAUUUGGGGGUGUCAUGUGACGCCCCCAAAAUAGGUCCAUUCCAGCCAACCCAUUCUGAGUCGCCAAAUACAUGGUACAGAAAUAACUACAACUUCAAUAAUACAAAUGUCGUGUGAAAUACGACAAUACAUACUGUGAGUUUAAAUACAGAUAUUGCCGUCUAGACAAUAUCCACACGCAAAUAAAUCCCCAUCAUAAUUAUUGAUACAUUAUUUUACAAAAAUGGUGAGGACUACUAAACAACUCUCUCUAGAACCUUCAUUCCAUACCCCGACUCGAUCCUGCUAUGUUCUCACCUCCUGAGAAGAAAAUGGAACAACAAGGAAAAGGGUGAGCUCAACUAGCCCAGUAAAGAAUAUUAUGACUAAGAUAAUAUACAACAAAUUAUCGUUAGUCUUCAACAGGGAAAAAUCUAAUAGAAUACAAUAGACAACAAGUUUUAGAUCAACAAAUGCAGCGGAAACAGCAAUCCAUUAGAAGAGUCACGUAGAGAAAGAAUUCUACUGUCUUCUAAGNNNNNNNNNNNNNNNNNNNNNNNNNNNNNNNNNNNNNNNNNNNNNNNNNNNNNNNNNNNNNNNNNNNNNNNNNNNNNNNNNNNNNNNNNNNNNNNNNNNNNNNNNNNNNNNNNNNNNNNNNNNNNNNNNNNNNNNNNNNNNNNNNNNNNNNNNNNNNNNNNNNNNNNNNNNNNNNNNNNNNNNNNNNNNNNNNNNNNNNNNNNAAAAAAAUAAUUAUGCGACUUUUUAAUUUAUUUAUGAUGUUAGAAAUUAAUUAAUUAAAAUGUUACGUAACUAAUUUUUUAACAAUCAACCGUUGUCAUCUUUUAACUAAUUUUUUUAAUUUUGAUGAGUUUUAGAAUUUAUCAAGAUUCGUAUAUAUCAUAUACUAUAUCUAUAUAAUAUAAUAUAUAUAUAUAUAUAUAUAAUAUUAAAAAUCAAAAUUUACUGUUUGAUUUUUCAAAGUCAUAACGGGAUAUUCCUAUAAUAAAAGUUGUGUAGUUUAUCUAAUUUUAAUAAUUUUAGUAAAAAAAAAUAUAAACAGUUUAUAAUGUUAAUAAUUAUAUUUUCUAAAAUUAGAUUAAUUUAUAUUUAUUUUAAGUUAAAAUUUAUCGGAGAGUUUUGCGACUUUUUAAUUUUCCAUAAAAUCUCUUUGCAAUUCUUUUACUGGCGAUUUGAAUUUUUACCUUUGUGUUUGAUAUUUGGAAGUCUUUAGAGAUGAGGUCAGACUUUGGAUAUGAGUUGAUAGUUAUAAGUUUUCUUCUAAAGUCUGUCAAACUCCACCAUUUAAUAGAAAUCUGAAAAAUCAAUGACUUUUUGAAUACCAAAAUACUUUUAUAGACUUUAUAAAAGUCUCAAUUCAAUACCACAUAACUUUUACAGACAUUACAAAAGUUGUAAUUGAAUACCAGUAAACUUUUAUAAACUCUUUAUAAAUGUCUUGAUUGAAUACAACCAUACUUUUAAAGUCUUUAAAAAUCUUAAUUGAAUACACCCUCCUAAAAAAAUAUUAAGUUGUAAGUUUAUUAGGGGUGUCACGACAAUAAAAUUAUGAUAGCAAACUUGAGGUCCUCAUGCCAUUUUAUACUACCAUCAAUAAAAAAAAUGAUUCUUUUUGUGCAACAAUUUUUUUUUUUUGGACAGAUGAGGCUAUUUUUGUGGCAUUAACAAAAUCAGCUAUGGUAAUACAUACAUAUAUAAGUUUAAGGUACAAUCAGCUAAAAACUUAGCAAAUAACAAAUUAUUCAUUGUUCUAAUUAAUGUAAUAAAAGUAAAUUACUCAAUUCAACUUUUUGGAGACUUACCGCUUGUAUUUCGGCCGAAUUAGAUAGGCAAGGACUAGAAUUAAUGGAGCAAACGACUGCAGUUCGCCGGUGAAACAGUGCUGGUAGCUCCGGCGAAGUGAACGGCGGCGGACGGCGCCUCAAGGCGGCCGGUUGAAUUGGGGGAAUUGUCGAUUCAAGUAUAAUGGCGGCCAUUGUUUCUUUCUUUAGAUUGAUGUUGAGUAGCUUACAGAGACGGUGGAGUGGAUUUUGGUUAGUAAUUUGGGGGUUGGAUUGGAUAGAGGGGUUU